This 2281-nucleotide long non-coding RNA is filed under the name Zea mays. RNAcentral describes it as "long non-coding RNA (ZMAY_LNC002510)". The record is from RNAcentral. Lineage: Eukaryota; Viridiplantae; Streptophyta; Magnoliopsida; Poales; Poaceae.
AUACUUCUCUAAAACGUUUCUCUCAGCUGCUGGACUUCUCUCAAAUGUCAUUAUACACUGUCUCUCAGCUUCUAAUGAACCAACAGGUACAUAAAAUGUCUAUUUUGUCCCUGACUUCUCUCAAACAAUAUUUAACAUACAACCUGUCAUAUAUUUAACACAAAAUGAGCUGAAAACAACAAAAAUAGAAUUUGGGCAACUACAUAGCAUUCAUCCAUUGAUCAUAAGUAUAAUUAGCAUCCAUAUGAGUGUAUUGGGCAUUAUAAUUACAAAAUAAGGGCACAUCCAAGUUGCAUGAGUGCACAUCAGAGUUGCAAAAUAAAUGCACUUUAGUGCACAUCAUAGUUACAAAAUAACCUCACACGUCAAGAACCAACACUAGUUUCACUUCUAACAUGUCAGAUAUCUAAGCUUCUUUUUGCUCUUUUUGGAGUCAUCUUCUUCGUGAGUGUACUAGGUUGUACAGUUGGAGGAGAAAUAUCCUGAGAUGCUCCUUCUUCCAUCAACAAAGCAAGACGUCUACACAUGUAACAUUUUAUCUUUCAAAGUUGUACCCAUGAAAACUAAUUAUGCAUGAACAGAACUAGUAAAAUUUCUUACCCUCUUGUCACAAUUCCAGGACUCUCUUGCAUGAUUUGCUCCCUUGUUGGAACAGGACUACCUGGUAACAAAUCUUUAGGUGUCCAUCCUUUGGUUGUGUUUUUUCUUAUCUUUCUCUUCCUGCAUUGGUAGAAAUACUUAAUAAAAAUAAACAAGCUUAAGAAAAUAAUGAAAAAGUUACCUUUUCUUAGUUCCAUUGAGCGAACAUUUGUAGCUAGAUUUCCUAUGUCCAAACUCUCCACAACCAGAACAUCGUGCUUUGCCUCUAAUCAUUUUUUUAGUCUUCUCAUUCUCAUUCUCAGAUAUAUUUGGACCAGAUUUUGAUCCACCACUUCCACCUUCGAGACAACCUUUUAUCCUAUUUUUCUUUUGCCUCCCAACACUCCUUUUACUAAGUGGUGCAGCAAUCUCAAUUGGCAAGUCUAAUUUAGGCCACUUGUCCUUGUGAGGAAUUGGCUCAAUCAUUCUUGCAUAUGCAUUUCUAAACUUCUGCACAGAGUAAUAUUCAUGUACAAAGUCUUCCAUUUUGACAUCUCUAGCCUUUUGAGCUGUUAUCAAGGCCAAAGCAUGUUGACAUGGCUUACCAGUGUGCUGCCACUCAAGACAUGAACACUCAUGCAAUUGUGCCUUCACCACAAACCGAUGGUUACAAUUAUCCCAUACCUCAGCAGUAAAGUGGUCGUAUUUAACAACAGAUAAGUGUCCUAGUCCUCUAGUUUUGGCUCUCAAUAUUGCUAGGACAGCCGGUAGUAUCUUUCCAUCGAGUUUUUCUCCAAUUUCUCUCCUCCGGUACAUAAGAAGACCAAUCAUCUCUCGAAUCUUAUCAGCAAGGUCCGCCACGGGUAAGUCCUUUAUAUCUUUGAUCCAAUUGUUAAAAACUUCAGCUACAUUAUUUGUGACAUAAUCACACUUAAUGUUGGGAUUGAAAUCUGAUCUCAUCCACUUUAACUUAUGAUGCUUCUUCAACCACAACUUAGCAUCAGGAAUACCCCUAUAAAUAAUAUCCAAAUGUUUCUCAUAAGCUUCUUUGUCAUAUGCUCUUGCAGCAGGCCACAUAUGUCCACCACUUUCACCACUAUAUCUCUUUAUAAAAUUCUGCAUUAGAUGUCUAAAACAUUCCCUUUGUUCAGCUUGUGGAAACACUUGCCCAACAGCAAUCUCAAGACCUUUACAAGCAUCUGUGCAAAUAGCAAGUAAAGGACAUUCUCCUAAAGCCUUUUUCAGUUGAGUCAUAAACCAAACCCAAUUCUCUGUCGUUUCAGAGUCAAUGAAUCCAAAUGCAAGUGAAAACAUCUAGUUAUGACCAUCCACGCCCGUUGCUGCAGCUAGAUGACCAUUCCAGCGACCAUUUAGGGCGGUAGAGUCAAUACCAAGCCACGGUCUACAACCAGAUUUGAACCCCUCAAUACAAGGACCAAGUGCACAAAAAAAUCGGUGAAAAUAUACCCUACCACUAACCACCUUACAGUCAAUCUCAACAACACUAUCAGGUGACCUUUUUAAAAUUUCUGCCUUCCACGAGCCACACAACAAAUCCAAUGCCUUUUCUCUACCUCUCCAAACUGUGUCAUAGCCAAUUUUGCACUUGUAAUCUUUUUCUAACUUUUUUUGCAGUUCUACACAACGCAUCUGAGGAUUCUCUCUAAGAAUGACGACAGCUUUUGAAGCUACCCACUUGCAG